AGUCGAACGGUAACAGGGAGCUUGCUCCGCUGACGAGUGGCGAACGGGUGAGUAAUGUAUCGGAACGUACCAUUGAGUGGGGGAUAACGUAGCGAAAGUUACGCUAAUACCGCAUAUUCUCUCCGGAGGAAAGCAGGGGACCGCAAGGCCUUGCGCUCUUUGAGCGGCCGAUAUCAGAUUAGCUAGUUGGUGGGGUAAAAGCUCACCAAGGCGACGAUCUGUAGCGGGUCUGAGAGGAUGAUCCGCCACACUGGAACUGAGACACGGUCCAGACUCCUACGGGAGGCAGCAGUGGGGAAUUUUGGACAAUGGGGGCAACCCUGAUCCAGCCAUGCCGCGUGAGUGAAGAAGGCCUUCGGGUUGUAAAGCUCUUUCGGCCGGGAAGAAAUCGUAUCAGCUAAUACCUGGUGCGGAUGACGGUACCGGCAUAAGAAGCACCGGCUAACUACGUGCCAGCAGCCGCGGUAAUACGUAGGGUGCGAGCGUUAAUCGGAAUUACUGGGCGUAAAGCGUGCGCAGGCGGUUUUGUAAGACAGGCGUGAAAUCCCCGGGCUCAACCUGGGAACUGCGUUUGUGACUGCAAGGCUAGAGUACGGCAGAGGGGGGUGGAAUUCCACGUGUAGCAGUGAAAUGCGUAGAGAUGUGGAGGAACACCAAUGGCGAAGGCAGCCCCCUGGGUCGAUACUGACGCUCAUGCACGAAAGCGUGGGUAGCAAACAGGAUUAGAUACCCUGGUAGUCCACGCCCUAAACGAUGUCAACUAGGUGUUGGGAGGGUAAAACCUUUUAGUACCGGAGCUAACGCGUGAAG
RNAcentral lists this ribosomal RNA (810 nucleotides) under uncultured bacterium. Its description in RNAcentral is "bacterial SSU rRNA". It matches the Rfam family "Bacterial small subunit ribosomal RNA", at positions 60 to 864 of the family's 1533-position model. The record is from RNAcentral.